Molecule: ribosomal RNA, 288 nt
Filed under: uncultured bacterium
Lineage: Bacteria
Description: partial 16S ribosomal RNA
Rfam family: Bacterial small subunit ribosomal RNA
Source: RNAcentral
GUGGAUUAGAUACCCUGGUAGCCCACGCCGUAAACGAUGUCAACUAGCCGUUGGGAUCCUUGAGAUCUUAGUGGCGCAGCUAACGCAUUAAGUUGACCGCCUGGGGAGUACGGCCGCAAGGUUAAAACUCAAAUGAAUUGACGGGGGCCCGCACAAGCGGUGGAGCAUGUGGUUUAAUUCGAAGCAACGCGAAGAACCUUACCAGGCCUUGACAUCCAAUGAACUUUCCAGAGAUGGAUUGGUGCCUUCGGGAACAUUGAGACAGGUGCUGCACGGCUGUCGACAGCU